AUGCAUCGCGGUGUCACUCUGUUACUGAGCUGCAAACGUUUGGGUCCUGAUCCGCAGCAGCUGUUCAUCGCAGCCGCAGGCUGCCGGCUGGCAGCACCUCCUGCGAGAAGCCAUUCUGGCGUCCCCCAGGCAGGCGGCCGCAAUGGCCUGAACGCGCGCAGCGCUGCUUGCCUUGCCGGUGGAGCAGGCAGCCGUGCGGGGCCGCAGGGCUCUGCCGCGCGUGGCGGCAGCGGUCUGGCCCACGUCCCCAAGGCCCCGCAGCCCCACGGCCCCGCCGGUGCACGCAGCGCUGCUGCCCACCACCAGCCAGGGCAUCCCUCGCGCUCGGGGCCACAGGGGAUGGGCAGGCGGGUCCCUGCCUGGCGGCAGCUCCACAGCCACCAGCCUCUCCAUUGCCAGCGCCGCUCUGGCCCCUCCUCGUGCCGCGGCACACAAGACCGGGCCCCUCGUGCCGUCACUCCUGGUGUGCCACUGCCUCUCGCCAAGCCACCGCCUCUCCGGAAGACCACAAGGCUUCCUCUCGCCACCGCACGGUCGGCAACAACAGCGGCCACCCCAGGCUCUGCUUGGGAGGUGUUUCAACCCGGACACUCCCGCCAGCUCUCCUGCUCCUGCCAGGCCCCUGCAGGGACUCGGCAGAAGCAGAAAGGGAAGGAAGCAGCCAUCCACGCAGGAGGCGGCUGCCCUGCGGAGAAUCCCUCGUGGACCAGUGCUGGCGACCCCAUUAGCAGCAGGAUCACAAAGCCCCUUCCUCAUGCACCGGCUACAGGCUCUGCACCACGCCACUGCGCUCCCACCGGCCUGGCCUCGGCAGCACCCGCCAGCACCCCCCCAGCCUGCAGCGGCUCGCAGCUCGCCUGCUCGCCCGUUAGGAGCCAGGCACUCCCUGCACACGAAAUGCUUCUUGGACAAGGGAUUUUCAGAGGCUGCAGGGCCCCAGCUCAGCAAGCUGACAUCAUACGCCUGAUGUUGCCAAACAAGGAUGAGCUGUUGCUAGAACAAUCAAUUUUUAAAUAUCUCUCUGCCUGUUACCCUUAG
RNAcentral lists this long non-coding RNA (1038 nucleotides) under Apteryx haastii (Great spotted kiwi). RNAcentral's name for it is "lncRNA (ENSAHAG00000012206.1)". Lineage: Eukaryota; Metazoa; Chordata; Aves; Apterygiformes; Apterygidae. The record is from RNAcentral.